CCCAGACUCCUACGGGAGGCAGCAGUGGGGGAUAUUGCACAAUGGGGGAAACCCUGAUGCAGCGACGCCGCGUGGGCGAAGAAGUAUUUCGGUAUGUAAAGCCCUAUCAGCAGGGAAGAAGAAGUGACGGUACCUGAGUAAGAAGCACCGGCUAACUACGUGCCAGCAGCCGCGGUAAUACGUAGGGGGCAAGCGUUAUCCGGAUUUACUGGGUGUAAAGGGAGCGUAGGCGGUGAUGCAAGUCAGAAGUGAAAGCCCGCAGCUCAACUGCGGGACUGCUUUUGAAACUGUAUGACUAGAUUGCAGGAGAGGUAAGUGGAAUUCCUAGUGUAGCGGUGAAAUGCGUAGAUAUUAGGAGGAACACCAGUGGCGAAGGCGGCUUACUGGACUGUAAAUGACGCUGAGGCUCGAAAGCGUGGGGAGCAAACAGGAUUAGAUACCCCUGUAUUA
RNAcentral lists this ribosomal RNA (450 nucleotides) under uncultured bacterium. RNAcentral describes it as "bacterial SSU rRNA". It matches the Rfam family "Bacterial small subunit ribosomal RNA", at positions 330 to 795 of the family's 1533-position model. The record is from RNAcentral.